This 497-nucleotide ribosomal RNA is filed under the name uncultured bacterium. RNAcentral describes it as "partial 16S ribosomal RNA". It matches the Rfam family "Bacterial small subunit ribosomal RNA", at positions 28 to 507 of the family's 1533-position model. The record is from RNAcentral.
GAUGAACGCUGGCGGCGUGCCUAAUACAUGCAAGUCGAGCGAACAGAUGAGGAGCUUGCUCCUCUGACGUUAUCGGCGGACGGGUGAGUAACACGUGGAUAACCUACCUAUAAGACUGGGAUAACUUCGGGAAACCGGAGCUAAUACCGGAUAAUAUAUUGAACCGCAUGGUUCAAUAGUGAAAGACGGUUUUGCUGUCACUUAUAGAUGGAUCCGCGCCGCAUUAGCUAGUUGGUAAGGUAACGGCUUACCAAGGCAACGAUGCGUAGCCGACCUGAGAGGGUGAUCGGCCACACUGGAACUGAGACACGGUCCAGACUCCUACGGGAGGCAGCAGUAGGGAAUCUUCCGCAAUGGGCGAAAGCCUGACGGAGCAACGCCGCGUGAGUGAUGAAGGUCUUCGGAUCGUAAAACUAUGUUAUUAGGGAAGAACAAAUGUGUAAGUAACUAUGCACGUCUUGACGGUACCUAAUCAGAAAGCCACGGCUAACUACGUG